RNAcentral lists this long non-coding RNA (507 nucleotides) under Zonotrichia albicollis (white-throated sparrow). RNAcentral's name for it is "lncRNA (ENSZALG00000002841.1)". The record is from RNAcentral. Lineage: Eukaryota; Metazoa; Chordata; Aves; Passeriformes; Passerellidae.
GUUCAAUCACAGCACUGUUUCAAUAGAGAACUCCAUAUAUUUAAAGCGCUGAUACUGUUUUCCCUCUAAAUGACAGGCUUGACAGAUGGGCCGAAAGCACUGCAGACGUUUGAACAAGGAAAUAGAGAGGGAGCCUGCUGGAAGCAAGGCUUCACGCAGCCAGCCGCGGAUGAUGAAUAGAGUGUGAUUGUGUCUGACAGAGCAUGUGCCAGGCCUCCAAUCAUUUGUUUUUCCUCUGUUUGCCACUGAGCUGCAUGGCCCCACUUCAGAACAGUCUUCGCUGUCUUUCUCCUCCGUUUGGUGGGGAUCAGGAUCAGGAUUGAUGCUGCAUUGGGAUUCUUUCUGACAUCCACCAUAAUCAAUGUUUCUAUUCAGUGUUGCUUGGCUGGCAUCAUGUGUGGAACAGAGCAGAGUGCCCAGUCAGCACCACACAGAGGCAAGGAGAAAAUGAGGAAGGGAGUGAGAGAGAUGCAGUGAAAAGGUUGAUAACAAAUUAAAGACUCAAGC